RNAcentral lists this ribosomal RNA (253 nucleotides) under uncultured bacterium. RNAcentral's name for it is "partial 16S ribosomal RNA". It matches the Rfam family "Bacterial small subunit ribosomal RNA", at positions 524 to 776 of the family's 1533-position model. The record is from RNAcentral.
UACGUAGGGUGCGAGCGUUGUCCGGAAUUAUUGGGCGUAAAGGGCUCGUAGGCGGUUUGUCGCGUCGGGAGUGAAAAUCCAGGGCUUAACUCUGGACUGGCUUCCGAUACGGGCAGACUAGAGGUAUGCAGGGGAGAACGGAAUUCCUGGUGUAGCGGUGAAAUGCGCAGAUAUCAGGAGGAACACCGGUGGCGAAGGCGGUACUCUGGGCAUUACCUGACGCUGAGGAGCGAAAGUGUGGGGAGCGAACAGG